This is a long non-coding RNA of Lolium rigidum, 2665 nucleotides long. RefSeq lists it as uncharacterized. The record is from RefSeq and is a predicted model, not a curated record. Lineage: Eukaryota; Viridiplantae; Streptophyta; Magnoliopsida; Poales; Poaceae. The transcript has 6 exons.
CAGUAGGUCGAGCGGCGGCGGCGGAUAUCCGGAGGGUUGAGAUGGGAUCCACUGUUGGGAAGAGGAGGAGGCAGAGGCCGAAGCGGAAGGCCGCCUCCUGGAAGGUCCUCUUCCACCAUCCUCCGGUGCGGCGCCAUCAAGGCUGUCCUCGACAGGAAUGAGCUCGGCAAGGGUAGCUAUUCCUCGGACUGUCGUCGAGGCCCUCCAUGAGCAUAUCGCCGCACUCUGCUGGAAAUCCGACUCAAGGUAUGUCCCGAAGAUCACCCGGACCAGAGUCGGAGCGAUCAUUCCAACAAGUUACUCAGUCCUCCUCUGUUAUUUCUCCGCCUGCUUGAUGUUUGUUUCUUUUUCCUAUACUGAUUUGUUGAUGUUACUUGGUCCGAGCGAUGUACCUCGGGGUCAAGUCGGCAAGAGUGCCGUCUGCAGGAGUGGUGUAUGUUGGGCAGACAUACCGCCGGGCUUGAGGGGCUGCCGAAGGCGGUUGACUUGGAGGGAGAAAGGAGCAAUGGUUUUGCGGCUUAAGUCGUGGCGAGCAGGGCAUGUAGGUGACGACCACGGGAGCCAUGCGCGUCGUGCUGCAUUGUACGUUGUGGCCCCCUAAACUCUAACUCAGUUAGAAUUUGUCAGAAGUGGAUGCAGUUCAGCAGGGGCUUGGAGUCCCACAAGCAGGGUCUCGGAACUGUCCAGAGAAGAUUGAGCAAUGAGGACAGCCAAAAAGAUAUAGUAGGAGGCUAUUCAUAGAAGAGAACAAUAGACAGGGAAGAUCCAAUUGGAGGCAGUUACAAAAUUGCAAUCACAAUUUCAAGAGGAAGGUUAAGGUAUCUUUUUCCUUGCUAGAUAAAAUGGUUCGCUCUGCAUUUAAUUAGGAAGGUGAUUGAGUAAAGCUGUGCCUCGAAUUCAGAAGUUAAGAUGAAUAGACGGUGUAGUUUUAGCAUUCUCAUACUAUUCUCCGUAGAUAUAGUUUUGGUUCAUGUGAACUGCUGGAGUUCAGCCAAUGGACUCUACAUACAUUUUAUGUGCAGUGGUUCUUAUACAAAUGUUCAGAGGUGACAAAAAUAUAGAGGGCUAUCCAUCUUUAGAAGAAAAAAAACAUCUUUUUGAGACAUAGAUGGAUUGAUUCCGUAUGCAUUUAUAUUUUACCGGGAUGUUCUUAUUUUGAUUACUAAUUCAAUGCAUCUCCAUCUCUGAUAUGUGUUAGAGUAAAGACCUGCCAGCCCGCAUACGGAGUUUAUCAUUAAUGAUUGUAAGAAUAUUGGCUAAUUCUAAUCGCUUGAGUUUAUAAUCAUAUAUGAGUCCCUUUUAAACAAAUAUCUGCACUAAGUGCCAUUUUUGAACUCUCCUACUCCAUCCAUGUGAUGGCCGGAAGUCGAUCCAUUGUCCUGAAUGUUAGCUUAUUCCUUAAUGGCCAUACACCAAAAUUCUCUCCAAUUUGGUUAUUUUAGCUUCCUUUGUCAACAAUAAGGUUAUUUUAUCUUUCUCAAUUGUGAUCAGAUCUUUGUAAUACAUGGGAAUGUGCAAUUUUCCAACAUAUAUAUUUUCUCUUUGUACCCAUUGAAUACGAGAGAAUUACUUUCUGGAGGGUUUAUUCGAAAUUGAUUGAUAAAAUUUUCACAUUAAGAACUCAUUGACCUAUUUUUCUAAACAUUAAAUCGUUAUCAUCUUUCCACUGAAGUUUUGAGGCUUAUAGAUAUUUCUCUUGCAGGUUUGUCUUAUUCACGUUCACAAUUCAUUGGUAAACUUCAUUUGAAGAUUUUUCAUCUACAUCUCAGUCCGGCCUUAGUCACAUGAACAAAAUCAUUGUUAUUAGUUUUUUUCUUACUAAACGCAGCUUGGGAUCUGCUCAAACAGAUUGAUGAGCUCUUGAUUAUUCUGCCAAAGCUCUCAGGAGUCAAGAGCAUGUGUAUAGAUGGUUAAAUGUGUGGACUGCUAUGACACCAUGUAGCCAAAUUUGAUCUGAAUCAUGACUAGCAUGACUCACAAGCAGUUCCUCCAGAUUUAGACUUGAGAUAUAAUUCCCGCAACUUCAGUGGCACAUAAACCAUUUGAUGUAUUACUGAAAGAUGCACGAGUCGUGGUUUCGGUUUUUCAGGGUCCUACAGUGAUAGCAUGCACAUAAAGUAUCUUUCAAAAUGGCAAACUUCGAAAUGCACACAGCUUCCUGUUAAAGGUGAAUCCAACAGGCGGUGUAGCAAUUUAAGGACACCCUGGUUGAAAGGCUUUGUCGCAAUCAAUUGCUUAAAUGGCUAAUUAUUGAAUACUUUCUCGGAAAUGGAUCAAGAUGAUGUAACUUCAUGCGAGAACAUUUUAUUUUUCCUUCCUAUCACUUCUAAGAGAUGGCCGAUCCAUGUCUUUUUGAAUGAGAAGUUCCAUAGUUUGCUUUAAUGUGUAGUAACGUUACUCUUAUGUGAAAUCACACCAUCAGUUAAAAUCUAUAUGUUAUUCUUUUUUUUCCUUGAUAUUUAUUUUGGAUGAUAUUAGUAAUGAAUCCAAAUUUCAUGCUACAAAUACCUCAGCACUACCGUAGUAAUCCAUGUUAUUGCGCAUUUUCUAUCUAUGUAAUAAACCACAGUAAGGUUGUAUCGCUGUGCUGAUCUACCAUGUAAACACACAAUGCGUGUCUUGCAAAUCGAAUUAUAUGUAUUAUCAGCAAUGCUUUGCCUGCUUA